This 115-nucleotide ribosomal RNA is filed under the name Brucella cytisi. The record is from RNAcentral. Lineage: Bacteria; Pseudomonadati; Pseudomonadota; Alphaproteobacteria; Hyphomicrobiales; Brucellaceae.
ACCGGUGGUUAUGGCGGAGCGGCUGCACCCGAUCCCAUUCCGAACUCGGCCGUGAAACGCUCCAGCGCCAAUGGUACUUUGUCUCAAGACACGGGAGAGUAGGUCGCUGCCGGUC